UACGAAGGGGGCUAGCGUUGCUCGGAAUCACUGGGCGUAAAGCGCGCGCAGGCGGUCUUCCAAGUCAGUGGUGAAAGCCCGGAGCUCAACUCCGGAACUGCCUUUGAUACUGAGGAUCUUGAGUUCGGGAGAGGUAAGUGGAACUGCGAGUGUAGAGGUGAAAUUCGUAGAUAUUCGGAAGAACACCAGUGGCGAAGGCGACUUACUGGACACAUAUUGACGCUGAGGUGCGAAAGCGUGGGGAGCAAACAGGG
RNAcentral lists this ribosomal RNA (254 nucleotides) under uncultured bacterium. RNAcentral describes it as "partial 16S ribosomal RNA". It matches the Rfam family "Bacterial small subunit ribosomal RNA", at positions 524 to 777 of the family's 1533-position model. The record is from RNAcentral.